AGCAGCCGCGGUAAUUCCAGCUCCAAUAGCGUAUAUUAAAGUUGUUGCAGUUAAAAAGCUCGUAGUUGAAUUUCGGGGUCAGUAGAUUGGUCAUGCCUCCGGUAUGUACUGGUCUUACUGGCUCCUCCUUCCUGAUGAACCGUAAUGCCAUUAAUUUGGUGUUGCGGGGAGACUGGACUGUUACUUUGAAAAAUUAGAGUGUUUAAAGCAGGCUAACGCUUGAAUACAUUAGCAUGGAAUAAUGAAAUAGGACGUUCGAUCUUAUUUUGUUGGUUUCUAAGAUUGACGUAAUGAUUAAUAGGGAUAGUUGGGGGCAUUAGUAUUCAAUUGUCAGAGGUGAAAUUCUUGGAUUUAUUGAAGACUAACUACUGCGAAAGCAUUUGCCAAGGAUGUUUUCAUUAAUCAAGAACGAAGUUAGGGGAUCGAAGACGAUCAGAUACCGUCGUAGUCUUAACCAUAAACUAUGCCGACUAGGGAUCGGAUGAUGUUAAUUUUUAAUGACUCAUUCGGCGCCUUAAC
This 519-nucleotide ribosomal RNA is filed under the name uncultured Glomus. RNAcentral describes it as "SSU rRNA". It matches the Rfam family "Eukaryotic small subunit ribosomal RNA", at positions 569 to 1092 of the family's 1831-position model. Lineage: Eukaryota; Fungi; Glomeromycota; Glomeromycetes; Glomerales; Glomeraceae. The record is from RNAcentral.